Molecule: ribosomal RNA, 1034 nt
Filed under: Prevotella denticola
Lineage: Bacteria; Pseudomonadati; Bacteroidota; Bacteroidia; Bacteroidales; Prevotellaceae
Description: bacterial SSU rRNA
Rfam family: Bacterial small subunit ribosomal RNA
Source: RNAcentral
ACAGUGGAGAGUUUGAUCCUGGCUCAGGAUGAACGCUGGCUACAGGCUUAACACAUGCAAGUCGAGGGGAAACGGCAUUGAGUGCUUGCACUGAAUGGACGUCGACCGGCGCACGGGUGAGUAACGCGUAUCCAACCUUCCCGUUACUGCGGGAUAACCUGCCGAAAGGCAGACUAAUACCGCAUGUUCUUCGAUGACGGCAUCAGAUUCGAAGCAAAGACUCGUCGGUAACGGAGGGGGAUGCGUCUGAUUAGCUGGUUGGCGGGGCGACGGCCCACCAAGGCGACGAUCAGUAGGGGUUCUGAGAGGAAGGUCCCCCACAUUGGAACUGAGACACGGUCCAAACUCCUACGGGAGGCAGCAGUGAGGAAUAUUGGUCAAUGGGCGGAAGCCUGAACCAGCCAAGUAGCGUGCAGGAGGACGGCCCUACGGGUUGUAAACUGCUUUUAUGCGGGGAUAAAGUGAGGGACGUGUCCCUUUUUGCAGGUACCGCAUGAAUAAGGACCGGCUAAUUCCGUGCCAGCAGCCGCGGUAAUACGGAAGGUCCGGGCGUUAUCCGGAUUUAUUGGGUUUAAAGGGAGCGUAGGCCGGGGAUUAAGUGUGUUGUGAAAUGUAGGCGCCCAACGUCUGACUUGCAGCGCAUACUGGUUCCCUUGAGUACGCGCAACGCCGGCGGAAUUCGUCGUGUAGCGGUGAAAUGCUUAGAUAUGACGAAGAACCCCGAUUGCGAAGGCAGCCGGCGGGAGCGCAACUGACGCUGAAGCUCGAAGGUGCGGGUAUCGAACAGGAUUAGAUACCCUGGUAGUCCGCACGGUAAACGAUGGAUGCCCGCUGUCGGCGCCUUGCGCCGGCGGCCAAGCGAAAGCGUUAAGCAUCCCACCUGGGGAGUACGCCGGCAACGGUGAAACUCAAAGGAAUUGACGGGGGCCCGCACAAGCGGAGGAACAUGUGGUUUAAUUCGAUGAUACGCGAGGAACCUUACCCGGGCUUGAAUUGCAGGAGAACGAAACAGAGAUGUUGAGGUCCUUCGGGAC